Molecule: long non-coding RNA, 1863 nt
Organism: Dermacentor silvarum
Lineage: Eukaryota; Metazoa; Arthropoda; Arachnida; Ixodida; Ixodidae
Exons: 3
Source: RefSeq, a predicted model, not a curated record
GGCUGGCAGUGCUUAAAGCCGCACUUACUCAUUCCUAUACCGGCUAGUUUACCAGGCUUGUUCAUCUUGUUCAUCGUGUGAGAACAAAGAAUGUUUGGCUGUGCGUUCAAGAAAAUACUGCAUGGCGACCCUAAUGAUAGCACAUUGAUUACUUGGAGCGAAUAUGCAAAAAUAAGUAUCCGUGAUAUUAACUGAAAGCGUUCCUACCUAGCGCACCAAAGCAUCCACCGUUCACGGCCAGCUGACCUCGAUGAUAACACUUGCGGAGAGCCACUCGGACCACUAAUAGAAUGGCUACAGAAAUUAGGAUUGUUGUUUUGUGUGUUUAUGCACUCAUUCAAAUAUAUUCUAUUGAUGUUCUUCUCGUAUCCACUAUUUGCAUCGAUGCAAGGCAUACUAGGGAGACCCAGAAGUAAAGAAAUGUUUUUUUUUUUUUUUUGGAAGGGGAAGGUGUGUGUAUACCGACGAGUACCACUGUAGGCACGCCUAUUACCCUAUAGUCUUUAUCACUCGACCAAGUAGCCUCCUUGUGUGAAAUUUCGCCUGCAAACUGCAUUGCCUUCUUUCAAAACCUGCGUCACCGGCUACGUUGGUACGGUAAGCUCCGUCAUUUUGAAUUUGUAUGGCAAAGUCAGAGAGUUCAGCAUUUCUACCUUUAAGUGCCCUAGCGGUUGCCUGAUGCAGUUUGAGUAAAACUACCUGUCUGUGAAGCUCAGGCGAGUGGCCUGUGCACCGCGACAAUGCUCCACCCACCCACCACUGGCCAUACAGUGCUUUCACACAAAAAUGGUAGGAGAACGCUACCUAACUCUUCCUCUAUAACACUUAUUUUACCCCUUACGAUCACCAAAAGUGAAACGAUGCAUUUAAGAAAAGCGUUUUCGAGAUGUGGCGGAGGCAAAGGAGUUAAACGACGAAAGCAUUCUGUGCCAUCAGUUUGCAGCUUUCGUGGCCGAUCCCCUGUAGUGUUUGGAAGCUACAUUCUUGAUAGUAAACACCAACAGCAGGAGUCACAGAACAGUUUUGAGCCAUGGAUAAAUUCGUGUGAGAAGUCCAUUGCGCUUCAUGGAGAGUUCUAUAAAGGUGCUUAUGUUUUGUAAAUGUUCGAAGAAAUACUCAACACGCCGCGGUGACUUAGUUAUAUUUUGGCGUCACGCUGCCAAGCACGAGGUCGCUGGUUCGUUUCCCGGCAGCGGGGGCCGCAUUUCGAAUGGUGUGAAAUGCAAAAAUAAAAAUAAAUACAAAUGGGAGCAAAUGUUUGACUACCGAGCACUUCAUGCACAUAUAAGAACCCUGGAAGGUGAAAAUUAUUCCGCAGUCUUCCAUUACGGCGUGCCUCAUAAUCAUGUCGGGCUUUUGGCGCGUAAAACCCCAGAUUAUUACUCAUUUCAUCUUUAAUAAAUAUCCGAAUUAUAAAAAAAAGUAUUCUCGUUAUUUUUGCUCCCCCUCCCUCGCCCCCUUCUAUGUAUCUCGUGUGCCUUAAGAGCUCAGUUUCGCGGUGCGGACGCCGUAGCAAGACCGCUUGGAAAUAAAUUUCGGGAUUCUUCAGCAAGCUGGAAAAGUUACAAGAAACGAGUGCCUUCGCGUGUCACUCCCACUGGUAUGCCGUUUCAUGCGCGGGAAAUCAAGCCACCUGCGGUGUAUGAGGUAUCUCUUAUUCCGUCUUUUUGAACGUGGUCCUAUAGCCCUCCGUACUACACUAGAUUUUGGAAUCUGGGGAAAUACAUCGGACACGAGUUUAGUGCUAAAGCUGGUCAGUCAUUAACACAAGUGAACUGAUGGGAAGACUGCGAGGAACCAAAAUAGAUGUCUGACAUAAAAUUUUCUGUAAGCUAUUGCUGAAAUGUGCAUUGAAUAUGUGCG